This 468-nucleotide ribosomal RNA is filed under the name uncultured bacterium. Its description in RNAcentral is "partial 16S ribosomal RNA". It matches the Rfam family "Bacterial small subunit ribosomal RNA", at positions 28 to 507 of the family's 1533-position model. The record is from RNAcentral.
GACGAACGCUGGCGGCGUGCUUAACACAUGCAAGUCGAACGGAAAGGCCCUGCUUUUGUGGGGUGCUCGAGUGGCGAACGGGUGAGUAACACGUGAGUAACCUGCCCUUGACUUUGGGAUAACUUCAGGAAACUGGGGCUAAUACCGGAUAGGAGCUCCUGCUGCAUGGUGGGGGUUGGAAAGUUUCGGCGGUUGGGGAUGGACUCGCGGCUUAGCAGCUUGUUGGUGGGGUAGUGGCUUACCAAGGCUUUGACGGGUAGCCGGCCUGAGAGGGUGACCGGCCACAUUGGGACUGAGAGACGGCCCAGACUGCUACGGGAGGCAGCAGGGGGGAAUAUUGCACAAUGGGCGGAAGCCUGAUGCAGCAACGCCGCGUGCGGGAUGAAGGCCUUCGGGUUGUAAACCGCUUUCGCCUGUGACGAAGCGUGAGUGACGGUAAUGGGUAAAGAAGCACCGGCUAACUACGUG